UUUACAAAAAUAUUUUCCCAUUCUAGGUCAAAGAGGACGACCACUCCUGGUAGAGGAGGACCGUUCUUUGGUCAAAGGUAUAGGAGUAGCUUCGCUCCCCUGCUAGAACCUCCAAAUAAGCUCUCAAGGUCCACAAUUGAUUUUUUUACAUAAUUUUUUUCAAGUUUCUUUCUUUCUUUUAUGAGAGAGAAAAAUACAAGCACCUUCAAAAGGGUUUCAUGCUGUAAUGCUCCUCCACAA
RNAcentral lists this small nuclear RNA (240 nucleotides) under Tupaia belangeri chinensis (Chinese tree shrew). RNAcentral describes it as "Tupaia chinensis (Chinese tree shrew) 7SK RNA". It matches the Rfam family "7SK RNA". Rfam says of the family: 7SK was discovered as an abundant small nuclear RNA in the mid-70s but a possible function has only recently been suggested. Two independent studies have found that 7SK RNA binds the CDK9/cyclin T complex (known as elongation factor P-TEFb). The record is from Rfam by way of RNAcentral. Lineage: Eukaryota; Metazoa; Chordata; Mammalia; Scandentia; Tupaiidae.